This 407-nucleotide ribosomal RNA is filed under the name uncultured bacterium. RNAcentral describes it as "partial 16S ribosomal RNA". It matches the Rfam family "Bacterial small subunit ribosomal RNA", at positions 30 to 526 of the family's 1533-position model. The record is from RNAcentral.
AUUGAACGCUGGCGGCAGGCCUAACACAUGCAAGUCGAGCGGAGCGGCGGACGGGUGAGUAAUGCCUAGGAAUCUGCCUGGUAGUGGGGGAUAACGUCGGGAAAGGGGCGCUAUAACCGCUUACUAUCAGAUGAGCCUGGGCCGGAUUGGCUAGUGGGUGGGGUAAAGGCCUACCAAGGCGACGAUCCGUAACUGGUCUGAGAGGAUGAUCAGUCACACUGGAACUGAGACACGGUCCAGACUCCUACGGGAGGCAGCAGUGGGGAAUAUUGGACAAUGGGCGAAAGCCUGAUCCAGCCAUGCCGCGUGUGUGAAGAAGGUCUUCGGAUUGUAAAGCACUUUAAGUUGGGAGGCGUUACCAACAGAAUAAGCACCGGCUAACUUCGUGCCAGCAGCCGCGGUAAUUC